CUACGGGGGGCUCCAGUGAGGAGUAUUGCACAAUGGGGGGAACCCUGAUGCAGCAACGCCGCGUGGAGGAUGACGCAUUUCGGUGUGUAAACUCCUUUUAUAUGUCAAGAAAAUGACGGUAGCAUAUGAAUAAGCACCGGCUAACUCCGUGCCAGCAGCCGCGGUAAUACGGAGGGUGCAAGCGUUACUCGGAAUCACUGGGCGUAAAGGACGCGUAGGCGGGUUGGAAAGUCAGGUGUGAAAUCCUACAGCUUAACUGUAGAACUGCACUUAAAACUUCUAAUCUAGAGUAUGGGAGGGGGAGAUGGAAUUAGUGGUGUAGGGGUAAAAUCCGUAGAUAUCACUAGGAAUAUCUAAAGCGAAGGCGAUCUCCUGGAACAUUACUGACGCUAAGGCGUGAAAGCGUGGGGAGCAAACAGGAUUAGAUACCCCUGUAGUC
Molecule: ribosomal RNA, 439 nt
Filed under: uncultured bacterium
Lineage: Bacteria
Description: partial 16S ribosomal RNA
Rfam family: Bacterial small subunit ribosomal RNA
Source: RNAcentral